RNAcentral lists this ribosomal RNA (525 nucleotides) under uncultured bacterium. RNAcentral's name for it is "bacterial SSU rRNA". It matches the Rfam family "Bacterial small subunit ribosomal RNA", at positions 17 to 518 of the family's 1533-position model. The record is from RNAcentral.
UCCUGGCUCAGAACGAACGGCUGGCGGCGUGCUUAACACAUGCAAGUCGAACGCGAAAGGGACUUCGGUCCUGAGUAAAGUGGCGCACGGGUGAGUAACGCGUAGAUAACCUGUCUUUAUGUCUGGAAUAAUACGCCGAAAGGGGGUACUAAUACCGGAUAUUUUUGCAUUGCAUAAGCAGUGUAAGCAAAGGUGGCCUCUGACAUAAGCUACUGCAUAAAGAGGGGUCUGCGUACCAUUAGCUAGUAGGUGGGGUAAAGGCCUACCUAGGCUACGGAUGGUUAGCGGGUCUGAGAGGAUGAUCCGCCACACUGGCACUGGAACACGGGCCAGACUCCUACGGGAGGCAGCAGUGAGGAAUAUUGCGCAAUGGGGGCAACCCUGACGCAGCGACGCCGCGUGAGUGAGGAAGGCCUUCGGGUCGUAAAGCUCUGUCAAAGGGAAAGAAGUGCAUGGUGGUUAAUACCUGCCAUGUUUGACGGUACCCUUAAAGGAAGCACCGGCUAACUCCGUGCCAGCCGCAGC